GACGAACGCUGGCGGCGUGCUUAACACAUGCAAGUCGAACGGAAAGGCCCUGCUUUUGUGGGGUGCUCGAGUGGCGAACGGGUGAGUAACACGUGAGUAAACUGCCCCUGACUUUGGGAUAACUUCAGGAAACUGGGGCUAAUACCGGAUAGGAGCUCCUGCUGCACGGUGGGGGUUGGAAAGUUUCGGCGGUUGGGGAUGGACUCGCGGCUUAUCAGCUUGUUGGUGGGGUAGUGGCUUACCAAGGCUUUGACGGGUAGCCGGCCUGAGAGGGUGACCGGCCACAUUGGGACUGAGAUACGGCCCAGACGCCUACGGGAGGCAGCAGUGGGGAAUAUUGCACAAUGGGCGGAAGCCUGAUGCAGCAACGCCGCGUGCGGGAUGACGGCCUUCGGGGUGUAAACCGCUUUCGCCUGUGACGAAGCGUGAGUGACGGUAAUGGGUAAAGAAGCACCGGCUAACUACGUG
Molecule: ribosomal RNA, 468 nt
Filed under: uncultured bacterium
Lineage: Bacteria
Description: partial 16S ribosomal RNA
Rfam family: Bacterial small subunit ribosomal RNA
Source: RNAcentral